RNAcentral lists this ribosomal RNA (244 nucleotides) under uncultured Staphylococcus sp. RNAcentral describes it as "partial 16S ribosomal RNA". It matches the Rfam family "Bacterial small subunit ribosomal RNA", at positions 96 to 334 of the family's 1533-position model. The record is from RNAcentral. Lineage: Bacteria; Bacillati; Bacillota; Bacilli; Caryophanales; Staphylococcaceae.
CGGCGGACGGGUGAGUAACACGUGGAUAACCUACCUAUAAGACUGGGAUAACUUCGGGAAACCGGAGCUAAUACCGGAUAAUAUAUUGAACCGCAUGGUUCAAUAGUGAAAGACGGUUUUGCUGUCACUUAUAGAUGGAUCCGCGCCGCAUUAGCUAGUUGGUAAGGUAACGGCUUACCAAGGCAACGAUGCGUAGCCGACCUGAGAGGGUGAUCGGCCACACUGGAACUGAUACACGGUCCAG